This is a non-coding RNA of Nelumbo nucifera (sacred lotus), 934 nucleotides long. The record is from RefSeq and is a predicted model, not a curated record. Lineage: Eukaryota; Viridiplantae; Streptophyta; Magnoliopsida; Proteales; Nelumbonaceae.
AGAAAAGAAGGAAAAAUAAAUGCCCAGGCAAAUUGCAUUCCUGCUUUUCGCUCCCACACUUCUUCUUGUUGCUCUCCUCCCUCAUCGCAUUCUAUAUCUAUCCCUUUCGUCUGUCAUUCUUUUUUCUCCCUCUCAUUCUCUCAUUUGGUCUCUUGUUCACCCGGUGUAAAGAGGUUAUUUUCUUACGCACCCUUUCAAUCUCCUGCUCUCUCAAUGUCAUUUUCUUACGCACCCAGGAUUAGGAAACCGUUGUCUCUCAGUUCGUUUAUUUCAUUGUAUAGAAGAAAAAUAAGGGGAAAUAGGGGAGAAAAUCUAUACGAACUGUGGUCUUUCAUCGAUACUAACAUUCUCUUCAUGGUUUCUUGGUAAGGUCACUAGUGCUUGAUGUGAAAGUCUGGGAGCCUUCAGUCAUAACUUUGUUUCAAUCACUAGGUAAUACAUAUGCAAACUCGGUCUCGGAAGAGUUAUUGCAAUCAAGGAGUAAUAUUUUCCAGGUUGAUGAAUGCUCCAUAGGAUAAGUAGACAUGAAUUCAUUAUUUAUAAGCCUUUUAUGGCUAUUUAUAUAUUUUGUUGGAAGUCUGUAAUUUAACUUGGUAUUGCUGAACAUCUUGGUGCAGUUGCUCCAAAUAUUAAACACCGGAUCUUUGGAUGGUGUGAGAUAUCCUUAAAAUCGGUAAUGAUUAAUGACUUAGUUUUGUUGAAGAAAUGCAGAAAUCUAGUAAUUCUUGGAGAUACAGUUGGAUCUCACAUCACUUGGGUUAAUUCAAUGACCAAAGAUUAUGAUCCAAAGUGAAUGUCUUGAGUGCGAUGCACGUGUAUAUAAGCAAAUGUUCAGAUACAAUGAGGAUAAUUUUGUCAAUUCUCUUUUAUUGUUUUCUUUUGUAAUGAAAAUACUUGUGUAAAUGUGAAUAUUAAACAAAGACUACUAUGGAUA